This 271-nucleotide ribosomal RNA is filed under the name uncultured bacterium. RNAcentral describes it as "partial 16S ribosomal RNA". It matches the Rfam family "Bacterial small subunit ribosomal RNA", at positions 524 to 794 of the family's 1533-position model. The record is from RNAcentral.
UACGUAGGGUGCAAGCGUUAAUCGGAAUUACUGGGCGUAAAGCGUGCGCAGGCGGUUUUGUAAGCCAGAUGUGAAAGCCCCGGGCUCAACCUGGGAACUGCGUUUGGAACUACAAGGCUGGAGUUUGGCAGAGGAGACUGGAAUUCCUGGUGUAGCAGUGAAAUGCGUAGAUAUCAGGAGGAAUACCGAUGGCGAAGGCAGGUCUCUGGGCUAUAACUGACGCUCAUGCACGAAAGCGUGGGGAGCAAACAGGAUUAGAUACCCGAGUAGU